This 564-nucleotide long non-coding RNA is filed under the name Equus asinus (donkey). RNAcentral describes it as "lncRNA (ENSEASG00005024983.1)". The record is from RNAcentral. Lineage: Eukaryota; Metazoa; Chordata; Mammalia; Perissodactyla; Equidae.
GUCCAGAUGGCGCAAAUUCGCUCCGGUUUGGAGAGCCCCCCUCGCGCUCCGGGGAGUGCGCCCCCAGGGGGAUGCCGCGGCGCUCUGGGAGGCCAAGGGCCACGCUGCUUUCUCUCCAGCACGUACUCUUCGUUCCCACCCCCUACAUCCACCCCCAACUCCCUGAGGAGUAAUGGAUCUGCAGCCUAAAUGCUGCCAACACAAAUGUGGCUUUGUCUUCUAGACUGCCUAUAAUUAUGACAAAACUCUCAGAUUCCGGGGCCUUGUGACACAGGGAUAGCCCAGCACAAAGCGGAAUGGACAGUAAACACGUCUGCGAGGAUGCCCAUUCAGAGCUGGGAGUGUUGGGCAGGACGUGUGUGGAUGUGUACAGAUACCUCCCCCCGCCCCCAGGCCAUUGGCUUCGCCCAUAAGCACACAGUUACCCAGGCAGCCCACUGCCGUCCUCUACAGGGAGAAACUUCGCUGAAGUUCCUUGGGAGAAAUUGAAACUUCAGCUCUUUGCAAGCGCUGCAGAAUCCUUGAGGCUGUCAUUUGCAAACCACGGGAUGCAGUCAGUGUGUG